This 325-nucleotide long non-coding RNA is filed under the name Brassica napus (rape). RNAcentral describes it as "long non-coding RNA (BNAP_LNC022994)". Lineage: Eukaryota; Viridiplantae; Streptophyta; Magnoliopsida; Brassicales; Brassicaceae. The record is from RNAcentral.
GGAGAGAAGAAAAAGUUAGUGGUUUUUAACCAAAUCUUAAUAUUUAAGGGUUUAAUUGACAUUUUUUCUUUAAAACAGAAAAAAAAAAAAUCUGAGAAGACGUCUUAUUAUCAAAACCUUUAGUUUGGUUUUAAAUAAAUAAAUAUUCAUUUGUAAAGAAUCUUGACGAGUAAACAUUAAGUACAUAAAAAUAUAGGCAUUUGCUAUUGUUAUUUAUUUUUCAUGUGGAAUUUUUUGGAAAAUCUUAAAGCUGAAAUUACUUAAAUAUUUUAAUUUGGCCAAUCAAAAUAAUAUAUGUUUUAGAUCUAUUAAAUAACUUGGUGAA